UGGGAAUUGAAGCCCAUAAAGUUGCUUCUAUAAUUGUUUUGCGUUGCAAUAUUUGCGCUGUAGGUUGUCCUCUGCUGGGGCCUGUAUGUUGGUGCCGGUUUACUUACGGAAGCUUUUCGUUUAAUGUCAUACAAGGACCUUUUUCCUUUGUCUAAAAGCACCCUUUGGGCUUCACCAAUCAACUUGAAAGCAGCCUCUGCACCAGGGCACUUAUUUUUGUCGGGAUGAAGUAAGAGAGCAAACUUCUUGUACUGCUUCUUGAUUGUAACCUCAUCAGCUGUCUGCUCAAUCUGAAGGAUGCCAUACCAGUCCAUCUCAUUCCCAUGCAGUUUCUUAUCAGCAGCACAAUGCACAUCACAAACCAUCAGCAUAUGGGAAAUAUUAUCCAAAUCUUUGUAAAGCUGUUGGGCUUUGAGUGCAAUUUUACGAGCAGUACCAAAAUCCUUGUUUUGCAUCUUACUCUCAGCCAUUCCCUUGGCCCUGAU
Molecule: unclassified non-coding RNA, 485 nt
Filed under: Hevea brasiliensis (rubber tree)
Lineage: Eukaryota; Viridiplantae; Streptophyta; Magnoliopsida; Malpighiales; Euphorbiaceae
Source: RNAcentral